GAUAACUGCAUUUGGAUUUGUCUUGGUAGUUUACAAAUGACCUAAAUUUAAUUUAAUGGCUCAGUACUCAGGAAAAAUUGGGGAAUUCUGUUGUUCUGACAUAAAAUGUAAUUGUCGUGAAAAGUGCCAUAAUGUUACAGUUAUCAAAAAAAGCCAACAGAAGAUCUUUUAGUCGUCCCUCAACUGGAACGCUGAAAGGACAGGCCUCUCAACUCUUUCUCCAAAAGGAACGAACCAAAUGCGUGAUCUCUAUGGAUUUAGCAGCACCACAAAUUUGGAUCGACAUCUCCACAUUUAUUGAGGCUUAACUAAAAACAAAAUACUGCAGAUGCUGGAAGUCUUAAAGGCAGAAAGUUUGAAAGAGACUCUGCAAGUUCUGGCACCAUCUCGGAACAUGGAAACAGAGUUAAUGGUUUGAGUUUGGAAUGACUGUCCGCAUUUAGCUCGCCAAUUUUCUUUGUUAUUUAGAAAUUGGCACAUAUCCUGUGAAUUUUAAUCUCUGUUAUCUGUUCUUGAAAUGCCUUGGCUUGAUUUGUUUUCUUUCUACAUUGCACUCAUGCAGAAAGCAAACAGUGCGGGAAGGAAGCUGUGUGUAUUUUAAAAGAAAAGGCGAUGGCCAUUCUGCCUUCAGUCCCAUUUUAUUGGACCAUGCUAAAUCUGAAUCUUAAUUCCAUCCACCUGUCAGGAUUCUGUAACAUAAGUUAGGGUGUAGCAAUUAUGCAGUGUACUUCCUGAAAAGGAAACCUGUAACAAUUGGAAUAAGGGCUAGUGGAUCUCAUUGACUGAGAUCUCUGAUUGUUCACUUGGGCCAAUCAGGGAGCCAUGGCUGACAGAUAUAAAAGGAAACUAGGUGUGUCAGGUUGGACCGAGAGC
Chiloscyllium plagiosum (whitespotted bambooshark) is the source of this 873-nucleotide non-coding RNA. Lineage: Eukaryota; Metazoa; Chordata; Chondrichthyes; Orectolobiformes; Hemiscylliidae. The record is from RefSeq and is a predicted model, not a curated record.